UGUCCUGCCUGCAGGAAACUGGCGCUCAGUCGCCACACCAUUCAUGGCGUGACCAGCUGAGGAGCUUCACACUAGCCAGUCCAGCUCCGAGUUCAGUCAUGUGACAGAACGCCUCACCUGUAGUAACAGGCAGAGGUGGGAAUAAUGAAGUAUAAAUUACUGUUAAGUCGAAUUUCAGGCAUCUGUACUUCACUUCAGUUUUUAUUUUUCUGGCAACUUUAUACUUUUAUUCGCAAAAUUCAUCUAUAGUGUUUAUACUCGGGAUUAAAAUGGGCCUGAACAAGUGGAAGUGUCUGUAUGCCGUUGUCAGCAUCUAGCCAGUGCUACAGAAGAGGAAUUAGCACAGAUGGAGGAGAGAAAAGAAAGAGAGUUAACCUCACUCAAAAAUGGAGAAAGACACGAAAGAGAGGAGAGGAAAAAGAGAGCUUAGAUUCAAAGGUAAUGGCAUCUCAGGGUAGCUUAAUAAACUACACUGAGAUGAUAUGUAAUAUCAUCAUUUCAUUAUCAUUUUAAUGAUAUGUUGGAUCUGUAUAUCAUUUGUUUUGAUAAAUUAUGUAUUUUCAUUUUGUGAACCUAUACUAAUUUUGUGUUAAUCAAAUGUUGCACGAUAAUACUGUGACG
Molecule: long non-coding RNA, 621 nt
Organism: Oreochromis niloticus (Nile tilapia)
Lineage: Eukaryota; Metazoa; Chordata; Actinopteri; Cichliformes; Cichlidae
Exons: 3
Source: RefSeq, a predicted model, not a curated record